AGGUCAUGAUGUGGACACUUGCCAAUAAGUCUUUGUAUCUCUCCCACGCCUCAUACACUGAUUCACUCUCAAAUUGGGUGAAGGUAAUAAUAUCAUUCCUUAAUUU
This is a small nucleolar RNA of Juglans microcarpa x Juglans regia, 106 nucleotides long. The record is from RefSeq and is a predicted model, not a curated record. Lineage: Eukaryota; Viridiplantae; Streptophyta; Magnoliopsida; Fagales; Juglandaceae.